AGUGUCAUGUUAGAUGAUUGUGAUUCUUUUCCCUCUUUUUUGAUGAAUGUUAUCUCUAUAGGCCUUUUGACUAAACUUGGUUACAAAUUUAUAAUAAAGAAUAAUUUUUGUGAUAUCAUUAUGAAUGAUGCUACAAUUAUGCAUGGAUAAUUAAAACAUGACAUAUACAUAAUAUCACGGCCUGUUAGUGUAAUGUGCACACCCAAUAAAUGUCCUAAGU
This 220-nucleotide long non-coding RNA is filed under the name Elaeis guineensis (African oil palm). RNAcentral's name for it is "long non-coding RNA (EGUI_LNC048501)". The record is from RNAcentral. Lineage: Eukaryota; Viridiplantae; Streptophyta; Magnoliopsida; Arecales; Arecaceae.